GGGGCGGCUCCGCGGGAGGCAGCCGGGCAGGCAGCGAGGCGGAGGGAGAGCGCCCGGCCCGCACCCGCCGCCCGGCCGGGGAGAGGGUGGGCUGGCAACGCUCCCGCCGCCUGUUUGGCCGGUUGUAAGUCGGUGGUCCCCGUCGCGGCCGGCUCUGCCCCAGCUCCUGCCUGUCUCCCUCAGGAUCAUAAUUCACCAGAAGUGCCAUUUAAAUUAAAAGUGACAGGGAUGAGAAUGUGGUGUUCCGUAAGGUGCCGUUGCUAGCUGCUGGCUGAACGGCAGCCUAAACACAGGCUUGAUCCCUCGCUCCACACACAGCCCGCAUGAUCACAGAGUCACAGAAUCAUUAAGGUUGGAAAAGACCACCGAGGCCAUCUGGUCCAACCAUCAGCCCAUCGCCGCCAUGCCCACUAACCGUGUCCCUCAGUGCCACAUAAGUGUCCCUACCAGCAGCAAGUAAGGCCAUCCACCCGACACAGAUUUCUCUUUUUUUCUCUGCUAAACUGAUCAGUGUUACAGAGAAUGGUAGGAGUAAGGCAAUAAUUCUGACAGGAAGUUAAGAGUUAUUCAGCAGCCGUGGAGGAACUGUCAGGACUGACUGCUGUGCAGUGGCUCCCACAUGGAAGCAGGGUGGACGUGUGUCAUGGCCUGCAGCACUGGGACAGAGAGCAGGGCCGGAAGGGGUGUUGCCACUCAGAGCUGCAGAAAGGUGUGAUUGCAAAAUACAGCCAUCCAAACUGGAAACCAGACCACAUGCAGCUUUUAGAUCCAUGUUCUCAAGAAGAAAUGGCACGUAACUCUUAAUGACAUCAAGUGGUCACGACCCAAGUUUGAAAUCUCAUCUGAAGGAAGAGCAUCUCUCCUAAUCCAAUUCCCACUAUGAGCACAUCGGGGCAGCGGUUCAAGGAUGACUCGGAGGGAAGGCUGCCAUAUCCUGACUCACCAGCACCGCUUCCUGCAGCCCGGUCUUUCAAGUCUUCAUCCAGUUACCAGCUCCCAAAGUGAACCCUCUUAUCGGGUGAAGUGUGAUGAAGUCACAGCCCCCCCCAGACUCUGUCUAUACAUAUUGUCCCUCCUCCCUGCUUUUGUCUGGAAAUGUGUUGCUCAUACCGUUCAUAUGAAUAUUUUUCUCACUAAGGUCCCAAGUUAAAUUAUUCAUAAAAUGAAUCAGAUUUGCCAGGAAUUACAUGUAUUGUGAGAGUUGAUUAUUUUGUACUUAUAGACGCUGUGAUUCCAUGAAAAGGCUUCCUAUGAGGUUUUAUUCUUCAGAAGUUAGAAGCUUACCUGACAGCGCUCUUCCCAUCAAAAAUGCAAGUGGAAUAUAUGCAGAAAUAUUAAGUAAAACACCUCCCAUUAAUAACAGUGGAUUUGAGAUACAGAAGUUACUCCCAAAUGGUAUAAAAAAAAAAAAGAUUCCUCACUAGCUUAGUGAUACUAUGCAUGCUUUACCUGCCUCCUCCAAAAAAAAAAAAAAACCCACACCAAAAACUAGAAGAGCAGACCUAAACAAGACAUUUCACAGUGAGAGGUCAAAUCUUUUAGCUGCAAUCUUCAGCAAUUAGCGCUGUCUGUUUUAGUUUGCUGAGGCAAAGCUAAUUAACGACUUCAAACACCAUUUCUCAAAAUGCUGGGUCUAAUCUUAAAAUAUAUAAAUCACGGGGGGAAGCUGCACAUAGCCCCUGAUCUGCUAUGUUUAUGUCUGCAGAGACCUUUCACACAGCUCUAUUGAAGAUCACUCGAGUGUACAAAACUAAUGAAAUUGUUCAAAUUCACUUAGGUGAAAUUGUACCAAAUUGCCUUGGGUAGCCUUAAGGAGGUGUAUUUUGAGCCUGCUUGGGCUGGGCCUGUGCACAUUUGCCUUGAAACGGCAAUUAGCCAGCAAAUGGGCACGGAGGCAGUGUUCUGAACACGUCUGCAGUGCAAGGCAGUAGGAAUUGAGCACCCUGUCUCCAAAGUAAAAACGGGAGCACUCAAAGCAUGGCACAAGUCUGGAAAGCAACUUUGUGACAGGAUAGGCCAGGCAAGAAAAGGAGGGAGUCACUUUCUAUGCCAAUAUCCAGGCUCUGAAGCAAAGCAAGCAAAAGUUCCUGAAUUUCUGCAAACAAAAGAGAAUCCCCACAAACAAAAGAAUUCUCAAGCAUGGCAAUGAGGAAUAUGCAAUCAGUGGCAGUGAUGAAGAAUUAAUGCCAAAGAAGCAAAAGAAGGAAAACAAAGAAAGAAAGAAACCCGCACGUAAAUAUGGAAAGAAAGUAACACAGUCAAAUGCAUUGUGGAAAAACACUGCUUUCACAACUGGAUUAUAACUAAUAUAUAAUCAAUAGGAAAUCAAAAGAUAUUGCAUGAGAGAUAAAUAACAAACACUGAUGCUGUCAAAGAGAAAGCAGCCACAAAUGAUCUAUGGACCGAAAGAGCAUUAGGACACCUGGCUACAGUAUCCAGGAGUGUUGUUAGCUCCCUGGUUCAUGCACACCUUAAUAUUAUCCCAACUCCAUGCUGUGGGAAAACUUAGUGAAUACCAACCCUAUACCAUAAUUUGGUCUCAUAAGAAGGAAACAUAGGUGCAGAAGCUGAAAAAGGCCCUAUAGAGCCCUUUGACCAAGCCCUGGUGUGGAUACCUCGGGACCCAGGAACACAGAGCUCACCAUGAGAGAGCUCCAAGGCAGGCACACAGCAAACUUAAUACAGCUCAAGUCAGUCAAAGUAGCCAGCAGUGCUUUAGGACAGUGCUACAAGAUGAAAGACAACACAAGUGAUUCUGCCUUCAUCUUCAAGGCCACACAUACAAGCCUGUAUCACUGAGACAUUUGGAACCAUUUCUGCCGUUGAUUUGUUUCUCAGGGAAACUGCCUAACCAGAUGUAGCUGCAGCUACAAGUCUGCUUCCUCUGGAGAUGCUCCCUAAGCUCUUCUUCCAACUCUCAUUGCCCAAGCCUCCCCUGGAGAUCUCCUUAGAGGUGCUUGCAGCUUUAUUUUCCAUCCCACUUGUUGCACAAACUCAAUUUUCAUCAUUUACUGUGGAUCUCUUCGUUAUUUUCUUUGGUCUUCCAUCUCCAUUGCCACCAACAUGCAAACAAUUUCCCUUCUGGCUGAGGGAAACAGCAGGGAGUAAUAGGUACAAAAUGAGCAUCUGUGGCUGAGAGGGGUUCCGUGUUGGGCAGAUAUUAUAAAGAACAGCAAACAAAUACAAAAUCAAUUAAUCCAUACCAGAGAAAUUACCAAGGACUACAUGAGAAAAGAGAUGCAGAGGUAAAAAAAAAAAAACAAAAACAAAAAACCAACAAACAAACCAAAACCAAACUCACCCUGUCCUCCUGCGAAAGCCAGAGAGGCUGUUGACAAGUGAGUUUAUCAUUCUGUGUCCUGCCAACCUCCUGUUACAGAGCCCAGAUACCAUGAGCCCACCCAAGUCCGCCUGUCAAAGGAACUGGAUGCUCUCACUGACAAAUGUAAAGAGCUGUGGCAAAAGAUGUUCAAACCCCAGAGUCCCACACACAGCACCUUACAUCUUUUGACUGUUAUAAAACCACCCUGAGCAGUUUCCAAAAUCAUGGCCAGGCCCUAAUGAAUAACUCCUGAAAACAAUAUCGUGGAUGUGUCUGUUAGCAUGCUGAGUGUAUAAUUUCAGUGCCUUCAUUUGUAGUUUGUGCUAAUAAGCAUUAUGUCCCUUCCAAGAGACAGCAGAGAACAAUGCUGCUGCACUCAGUCAGAGACAUCUUCUGGAAGGAGGAGGAAACUGUGCUUUUCCAAGAGCAAUUGAGCAACUUUUCGGGGAAAAGGCUUCUGGAGUGCAGAGCAGGUCAGACAGAGAGUGGAGAAAGACGCAAGGGGCCUGCGGCAUAAGUAGAGAGAGCAGAGCUCUGGGAGGCAGGGAGCACAUUCAGAACCAAAUGCCCACGGCAGUGUAAGCAUUUCUCCCAGGAUGCUAGGAGGGUAUGGAGGGUACACAGUGCGGGAAGCCACUGAAAUUUGUGGACUGAAGGACCGGAACAUAAGGAAACUGUGUAACAGAGAAUAAGGCAGAAGAGUAUUUAAAAACCUUAUUUUCUAUUGUCUCAGCGUUUCAAGGGGAAAUGGUUAUAAACUGGAAGAGGGAAGAUUUAGACUAGAUAUUAGGAAGAAAUUCUUUACUGUGGGGGUGGUGAGACACUGGAACAGGUUGCCCAGAGAAGCUGUGAAUUCCCCCUCCCUGGAAGCAUUCAAGGCCAGGCUGGAUGGGGCUUUGAGCAACCUGGUCUAGAGGGAGGUGUCCCUGCUUAUAGUAGGGGGGGUGGAACUAAAUGAUCCUAAAGGUCCUUCCAACCCAAACCAUUCUAUGAUACUAUGAUUCUAUGAUUCUUCUCUUUAAAAAAUUCAUUGUUCUACUUUAUGUCAUAAUGAAGUCCAUGCGCUCUUUGGCAGCAUAUAUACUAAAAUUGAAAGGAGACAGAAAAGAUUAAUGCGGCACCUGCACAAAUUGAUUUGGGAGUGAUAGGAAGAUUCUACAAUACAAAAAAAAAAAAAAAUAGACAUACAGAGCAAGUCUAGCAGCAGGCUGCAAACUGACUGAGGGCUGGAGAACAGGUGUGUGAGGAGAGGCUGAGAGAGCUGAGUCUGCUCGGUUUGAAGAAUAGAAGGCUCAGAGGAGACCUGGCUGCAGCAGCUAUCUGACCUCAGGAUACAAAGACGGAGGCAGAAUGUUCUUGUGGAUGCACAGAGACAGCCAACAGACACAAGCAGGAACAUGGGAAAUUCAAAUUACAGAACAAGAAAAAAAAAUAACAUGGAAGUGGUCAAAUACUGGAGUAGAAGGUGCGAGAUUGCUAUCUUAGGAAAUAUGUAAAGCUUGAGGGGUAUGACCCUGAGCAACCUGAUUCAGUCAGAUCUCUUUUGAGUGUGGAGUUGGACAAAACAACCUCUUGAGGUCUGAUGUCUUCCAACAUAGGUUAUUCUUUGAUUCUAUGAAAACCAGCUUUCUUGAUUCAGAAGUCUACUGGUUUUAGAUGUUCUUCACUUUAAAGACAAGAAGCAAGAAAGAUCUUUGACAGAGAUCCAGUCAGUCCUGUUGGCUUAAAGAAAUAUCAUGAUAUUUUUGUUUAUUGUUUAUAGUGUUGUUGGCUUUUUAGAUAAACAUUACUGCUUCGUAUUUGUAUGUCCUCUAAGAUACAGCUACCUUAGGUGCUUGAUUCAGCAAGCUACAUGUAUUUUACAUCUCUUCUGUUUGUUUUACCUCUGUUCCCUGUUCUCAAUCCAUAGCUUUCAUCAAAACCAGUUCUGUCCCAUUGCUUAUCCCCACAAGGACUGAAAAAGUGUCUUCAGAUGGCAGGCAUGUGAUUGUAAGACUCCUUCAUCCAUGGUCAGCAAAUAAUUGGAGUUAAGGAAGGACAAAAUCAAAAUGUAAGCAAGAAUAAGUGGGAAAUCAAGAAAUGUGAGAGGGUUCUACAGCAAUUCUACAGCAAUUUAAAAAUGCACAGAAGUUAAUUCCAAUGUAUGAGCUGUGGUGGGUCCACAUCAUCAUUCUAUUUUUAAAGGCAGAGAAAAUGAUAUGCCAAGCAUUUAAGUGACCUGUUCAAAGUCAGGUCGACCACAGUGAGAUGGCGCAGCCCCAGGGUGCGAAAGAUGAUAUACGUGCGUUGCAGCGAGAAGUGGGCUUGGACUGACAUGGCCGAUUUGUUUAUGUAUGGCUCCUGUAAGACAAAGAGAGGAGACACAGGGAGAACACAAAAAUGAAAUGCUUAUAAAAGUCAAUUCAUGUAGAAACACAGACUGUGAGGAAGAGGACAAAGAAAACAAUCACAUGGCUCUGGGAAGAAGAGGACCGCAAGUACUGAAUUCUGGUCACAGAAAGCAAUAAGGUCUAUAACUUGGACUGAGGAAAUAUUCAAAGACAUAAGGAGGAAAAAAAAAUUAAAGCAGAAAUGUUUCAUUUCUUCUAUGCCACAUACAAUUUUGCUGUGGAAUUCACUGCCAUAGGAAAUCAUUAAGCCCAGAAACUUCAGAGCAAACAUUUCUGUGGGUGCCAUAAAAAGACCUUUCAUGAGGAAUAACAAGUUUUUGGAAGAGAUACUAAACUUUCUGCUUCAGGCAUCACAUCAGAGUUGGCUUCGGUCUUACCAGAUUGAUGAAGAGUUGCUGAUACCGGGGAUCUGUAGUGUAGCGAUUCAGCAGCACGGCUAGGCGCGACGGCUUGGGCAGCUUCUCCACUGUUAUCUGGAACAGGCAAGAAUCCAUUUCUCUUUCCUUCUGCACUGCACAUUAGAACCCACGGUUCCAAAGCCUUCCAGUUCAUCUCUAAGAAAAAGCUUUCUAGCAGAGCUACUCUGGCAGACCUUGUCCUUUUUAAAUUCUUCUGCCAGUCAAGCUUAAACCAGUACUCAAAAUAAAACGCUCUGUACUUUAGAAAAAGGAUUUUUUUUCUUAGUGUGACUAACUGUGUCUCUGUUAAGACAAUGUCAGUUACACCGGCCUAGGGGUGAGAUUUUCCACACUGUUACUAAGUGGUAAUUGCAUUAUGAAAUAGUGCAGAAAAAUGCAAUAAAACUGGCAUCAGCCAUCAACUGAGCUUCAAUCUUUUUCCAUAGCAAUUCCUAUUUGUCCUUUGACACCUCAUCCCAUGCAUAAUUGCCGUGUUCACUCUCAAUGUUGUUUUGCCAGCAAAAUUUCCACGUGCAGACCAAUCCCCAGUGAUAUAUGAUGACUUUCCAGUUGUGCCUGUAUAAACCGCUUGAACUCCAUUACCAGUCUUGUUUUGGUAGCAUGUGAUUUUCUUUUACCACACUUAAUGUUUACUAUUCCUAAAAAUCCUUUAGUCACCUAUCGAAGCAAAAAUGCUAUAUGCUUUUCAAGUUUGAAAACUUUUACAAAUAGUAAUCACUCACAGAGGUGCUAUCCCACACAGAAUUAAAUACUAUAAUCUGCUGUUUGUAGAGAAGUUGGGAAAGAAAGGACUGGAACAGCCUAUUUGUGGAAGGACAUGCUUUGCCAGCACUCCUCUGCAACUCUCAGAGUCUGAGUGGCAUUAUGGUUUAUGACAGCUGUCCCUGGAAGUUCUUUAGUCAUAUUCUAAUUUAAAUUGUACCUGACCACUUCUUUCUUUCUUCUCAGCCACAUGAAAUGAAUGAAAGUUCAUUCAUCUUGAGCUCAUUCUAACUCACCCAAUAUAUUCGCUGAUUAAACAGAAAAGAUGUUACCUUCUCAUAGGUUAGAGGAUGUGAGAAGGAGAAAGAUUCGUUGCUUGUCUCUGGUUCAAAGAUGUGCUCAUUCUCCAGCAGCAUGCACAGCUCUAACCUAAAGAUUUUUUUUUUUUUUUAAAGAAAAAAAGCAUAUUUUUAAUGGGAUUUAUUAUAAGGGACAAAUUUUAUAAAGCAAGAACACAAUGCUUUACUAUCCAUAUAUAUCCAUCAGAUAUAUGAUUAGUGGGCUGACCACAGGUUUCACCUUCCUAAACUUCCAUCAUCAAUUACAGCAACACACAGGUGUUUUCUGGUUUAGGUUUGGCUAAUUGAAUUAUAAGACAUCACCUACCUACACAUGACCUGGAUCAACCUGCUUGGCAGGAACAGCGUAUGUAGUAGUUUGCACCCAACAAAACAAUAUAAAUAAUAAGCAAAUACAGCUAUUUGCAUUUAAGGAGAUAGGCUGUUGUGCCUUUCCACAUCCUUCUUAAGUAACAUCCACAUUAAAAUGAGAUCUGCAAGAAAUUCACAACCCAUUUUAAAUCAUCAGUGGAACCUUUUCUCACAGUACUGCUCUCUAGAAUUCAUUCAGGCAUUUAAUAUUCUUGCUGACUUAGUCCCUUGGUUUAGGAUAUCUUUAUCAAUCAUUACAUCAUUUCAAAACUUUUUUUUAGAAUUCUCCUGUUCCAUACUACGCGUAAAAAUAUUUGACAUGCCAUAUAUUCAAAAUGUCACUUUUAUCCAGUGCUUCCUUGCUUCACCACUGCGUGCACACAUGCGCUCCAUCCGCACUACCCACUUCCAGUCUUUUGAAUAUGUUUAGAUAAUAAACAUCUUGGGGACCACCACAAAGCUUUUUGUUUUGCAACAUGCUUAACAUCAUGUUAGCCCUCCUCCACUACCCUAACUAUUACAGCUAGCAGCUACUACAGAAACGUAGACAUGCAACACAGUGCUAAAUGAUGUGCUUGAGGGACCAGGCACGCAACCUUCACUGGGUCAUUGCAAGGGAGGUACAAAG
This is a long non-coding RNA of Gallus gallus (chicken), 8171 nucleotides long. RefSeq lists it as uncharacterized. Lineage: Eukaryota; Metazoa; Chordata; Aves; Galliformes; Phasianidae. The transcript is spliced from 7 exons. The record is from RefSeq and is a predicted model, not a curated record.